CCCUUAGAUGUUCUGGGCCGCACGCGCGCUACACUGAUGCAUUCAACGAGCCUAUCCUUGACCGACAGGUCCGGGUAAUCUUUGAAUCUGCAUCGUGACGGGGAUAGAUUAUUGCAAUUAUUAUUCUUCAACGAGGAAUGCCUAGUAGGCGCAAGUCAUCAGCUUGCGUCGAUUACGUCCCUGCCCUUUGUACACACCGCCCGUCGCUCCUACCGAUUGGGUGUGCUGGUGAAAUGUUCGGAUCGGCCGUUUGUCGCGGUUUCCGCGUCAUGUGGCUGAGAAGUUCAUUAAACCCUCCCACCUAGAGGAAGGAGAAGUCGUAACA
Molecule: ribosomal RNA, 325 nt
Filed under: uncultured eukaryote
Lineage: Eukaryota
Description: partial 18S ribosomal RNA
Rfam family: Eukaryotic small subunit ribosomal RNA
Source: RNAcentral